This 45-nucleotide non-coding RNA is filed under the name Trypanosoma brucei brucei. The record is from RNAcentral. Lineage: Eukaryota; Euglenozoa; Kinetoplastea; Trypanosomatida; Trypanosomatidae.
AAUUAAUAGACGUAUAAGUGCAUAGUGUAGUGAUGAAUAAUGAUU